RNAcentral lists this ribosomal RNA (71 nucleotides) under Badhamia polycephala. Its description in RNAcentral is "Physarum polycephalum partial ribosomal RNA". The record is from RNAcentral. Lineage: Eukaryota; Evosea; Eumycetozoa; Physariida; Physaraceae.
GGCCUUCGGGCGACCGUGUGCUGUGGUGGGCCGUAUCUAGGUACGUUUUUCCACAGCAUGUUCUCUGCCGG